GACGAACGCUGGCGGCGUGCCUAAUACAUGCAAGUCGAACGAACCGCGACUAGGUGCUUGCACUUGGUCAUGGUGAGUGGCGAACGGGUGAGUAACACGUGGGUAACCUACCUCAUAGUGGGGGAUAACAGUCGGAAACGACUGCUAAUACCGCAUAGGACAUAGGAUCACAUGAUCCAGUGAGGAAAGGUGGCGCAAGCUAUCGCUAAGAGAUGGACCCGCGGUGCAUUAGCUAGUUGGUAGGGUAAAGGCCUACCAAGGCGAUGAUGCAUAGCCGACCUGAGAGGGUGAUCGGCCACAUUGGGACUGAGACACGGCCCAAACUCCUACGGGAGGCAGCAGUAGGGAAUCUUCCGCAAUGGACGCAAGUCUGACGGAGCAACGCCGCGUGAGUGAAGAAGGUCUUCGGAUCGUAAAGCUCUGUUGUUAGAGAAGAACAGCGCAUAGAGUAACUGUGAUGCGUGUGACGGUACCUAACCAGAAAGCCACGGCUAACUACGUG
This 502-nucleotide ribosomal RNA is filed under the name uncultured bacterium. Its description in RNAcentral is "partial 16S ribosomal RNA". It matches the Rfam family "Bacterial small subunit ribosomal RNA", at positions 28 to 507 of the family's 1533-position model. The record is from RNAcentral.